CUUUCGGGUGCGUUAAUGGGCGUCGAGCGGCGGACGGGUGAGUAACGCGUGGGAAUAUGCCCUUCUCUAAGGAAUAGCCUCUGGAAACGGAGAGUAAUACCUUAUACGCCCUUUGGGGGAAAGAUUUAUCGGAGAAGGAUUAGCCCGCGUUAGAUUAGGUAGUUGGUGGGGUAAUGGCCUACCAAGCCUACGAUCUAUAGCUGGUUUGAGAGGAUGAUC
This 219-nucleotide ribosomal RNA is filed under the name uncultured bacterium. RNAcentral describes it as "partial 16S ribosomal RNA". It matches the Rfam family "Bacterial small subunit ribosomal RNA", at positions 63 to 305 of the family's 1533-position model. The record is from RNAcentral.